Molecule: unclassified non-coding RNA, 339 nt
Filed under: fungal sp.
Lineage: Eukaryota; Fungi
Description: partial internal transcribed spacer region
Rfam family: Eukaryotic small subunit ribosomal RNA (bases 1-46)
Source: RNAcentral
AAGUCGUAACAAGGUCUCCGUAGGUGAACCUGCGGAGGGAUCAUUAACACUGAGAUAGAGAUGCGAAGCCUUCAACAGCUGAGCUACCCUCUUAUCACACCAAUCUACGUGAACGUAACCUAUGUGGAUUGUGGCUGUUGCUGCUCUAUGUAGCGCAGUUAUGAUCUUAUUUAUGUUUUUUUUUACUAAACCUUUUCCAACUACAGUUAUGAUUGAUAUCUCUUUUUCUGAUUUCGUCACUUCUUUGAUUUGACGAGUUGAGAAAGUAACUAUCAAUAAUAUAAAAGCACAACUCUUAGCAACGGAUAUCUUGGUUCUCGUAACGAUGAAAAACGCAGC